RNAcentral lists this microRNA precursor (90 nucleotides) under Selaginella moellendorffii. RNAcentral describes it as "miR1107 stem-loop (smo-MIR1107)". The record is from miRBase by way of RNAcentral. Lineage: Eukaryota; Viridiplantae; Streptophyta; Lycopodiopsida; Selaginellales; Selaginellaceae.
AGGUUUCGGUGGUGCUGGUUCCAAUUCAGGUCGCGGCUGCGUUCCCUGUUGCUGGGCUCUGAAUUGAAAUCAGCGCCCUUGAAACUUUGC